AUCCCAGACUCCUACGGGAGGCAGCAGUGGGGAAUAUUGCACAAUGGGGGAAACCCUGAUGCAGCGACGCCGCGUGAGCGAUGAAGUAUUUCGGUAUGUAAAGCUCUAUCAGCAGGGAAGAAAAUGACGGUACCUGACUAAGAAGCCCCGGCUAACUACGUGCCAGCAGCCGCGGUAAUACGUAGGGGGCAAGCGUUAUCCGGAUUUACUGGGUGUAAAGGGAGCGUAGACGGUCCUGCAAGCCAGAUGUGAAAGCCCGGGGCUCAACCCCGGGACUGCUCUGGAAACUGUAUAGCUGGAGUGCAGGAGAGGUAAGUGGAAUUCCUAGUGUAGCGGUGAAAUGCGUAGAUAUUAGGAGGAACACCAGUGGCGAAGGCGGCUUACUGGACUGUAACUGACGUUGAGGCUCGAAAGCGUGGGGAGCAAACAGGAUUAGAUACCCCUGUA
RNAcentral lists this ribosomal RNA (447 nucleotides) under uncultured bacterium. Its description in RNAcentral is "bacterial SSU rRNA". It matches the Rfam family "Bacterial small subunit ribosomal RNA", at positions 328 to 792 of the family's 1533-position model. The record is from RNAcentral.